This 751-nucleotide ribosomal RNA is filed under the name Marinobacterium rhizophilum. RNAcentral's name for it is "bacterial SSU rRNA". It matches the Rfam family "Bacterial small subunit ribosomal RNA", at positions 91 to 838 of the family's 1533-position model. The record is from RNAcentral. Lineage: Bacteria; Pseudomonadati; Pseudomonadota; Gammaproteobacteria; Oceanospirillales; Oceanospirillaceae.
GAGAGCGGCGGACGGGUGAGUAACGCGUAGGAAUCUACCUGGUAGUGGGGGACAACAUUCGGAAACGGAUGCUAAUACCGCAUACGCCCUACGGGGGAAAGGAGGGGAUCUUCGGACCUUUCGCUAUCAGAUGAGCCUGCGUAGGAUUAGCUAGUUGGUGGGGUAAAGGCCCACCAAGGCGACGAUCCUUAGCUGGUCUGAGAGGAUGACCAGCCACACUGGGACUGAGACACGGCCCAGACUCCUACGGGAGGCAGCAGUGGGGAAUAUUGGACAAUGGGGGCAACCCUGAUCCAGCCAUGCCGCGUGUGUGAAGAAGGCCUUCGGGUUGUAAAGCACUUUCAGUGGUGAGGAAAGGGUAACCGCUAAUAUCGGUUAUCUGUGACGUUAGCCACAGAAGAAGCACCGGCUAAUUCCGUGCCAGCAGCCGCGGUAAUACGGAAGGUGCGAGCGUUAAUCGGAAUAACUGGGCGUAAAGCGCGCGUAGGUGGUUGAGUCAGUCAGAUGUGAAAGCCCCGGGCUUAACCUGGGAACUGCACCUGAUACUGCUUAACUAGAGUACGGUAGAGGGCAGUGGAAUUUCCUGUGUAGCGGUGAAAUGCGUAGAUAUAGGAAGGAACACCAGUGGCGAAGGCGACUGCCUGGACUGAUACUGACACUGAGGUGCGAAAGCGUGGGUAGCAAACAGGAUUAGAUACCCUGGUAGUCCACGCCGUAAACGAUGUCGACUAGCCGUUGGGAGACUUGUUCU